Molecule: ribosomal RNA, 678 nt
Filed under: uncultured bacterium
Lineage: Bacteria
Description: bacterial SSU rRNA
Rfam family: Bacterial small subunit ribosomal RNA
Source: RNAcentral
CGAGCGAAGCAUUUAACAUGAAGUUUUCGGAUGGAAUGUUAUCUGACUGAGCGGCGGACGGGUGAGUAACGCGUGGGUAACCUGCCUUAUACAGGGGGAUAACAGUUAGAAAUGACUGCUAAUACCGCAUAAGCGCACAGUACUGCAUGGUACAGUGUGAAAAACUCCGGUGGUAUAAGUUGGACCCGCGUCUGAUUAGCCAGUUGGCGGGGUAACGGCCCACCAAAGCGACGAUCAGUAGCCGACCUGAGAGGGUGACCGGCCACAUUGGGACUGAGACACGGCCCAAACUCCUACGGGAGGCAGCAGUGGGGAAUAUUGCACAAUGGGGGAAACCCUGAUGCAGCAACGCCGCGUGAGUGAAGAAGUAUUUCGGUAUGUAAAGCUCUAUCAGCAGGGAAGAAGAUGACGGUACCUGAUUAAGAAGCCCCGGCUAACUACGUGCCAGCAGCCGCGGUAAUACGUAGGGGGCAAGCGUUAUCCGGAUUUACUGGGUGUAAAGGGAGCGCAGACGGCAGUGCAAGUCUGGAGUGAAAGCCCGGGGCCCAACCCCGGAACUGCUCUGGAAACUGUGCGGCUAGAGUACUGGAGGGGCAGGCGGAAUUCCUAGUGUAGCGGUGAAAUGCGUAGAUAUUAGGGGGAACACCAGUGGCGAAGGCGGCCUGCUGGACAGUAACU